This 497-nucleotide ribosomal RNA is filed under the name uncultured bacterium. Its description in RNAcentral is "partial 16S ribosomal RNA". It matches the Rfam family "Bacterial small subunit ribosomal RNA", at positions 28 to 507 of the family's 1533-position model. The record is from RNAcentral.
GACGAACGCUGGCGGCGUGCCUAAUACAUGCAAGUUGAGCGCUGAAGGUUGGUACUUGUACCCACUGGAUGAGCAGCGAACGGGUGAGUAACGCGUGGGGAAUCUGCCUUUGAGCGGGGGACAACAUUUGGAAACGAAUGCUAAUACCGCAUAAAAACUUUAAACACAAGUUUUAAGUUUGAAAGAUGCAAUUGCAUCACUCAAAGAUGAUCCCGCAUUGUAUUAGCUAGUUGGUGAGGUAAAGGCUCACCAAGGCGAUGAUACAUAGCCGACCUGAGAGGGUGGUCGGCCACAAUUGGAACGGGACACGGCCCAAACCUCCACGGGGGGGAGCAGUAGGGAAAUAUUGGCAAUGGACGGAAGUCUGGACGCGGAACGCCGCGUGAGGGAAGGAGGUCUUCGGAUCGUAAAACCCUGUUGGUAGGGAAGAAAGUGGGGGAGAGUGGAACGCUCAUCAAGUGACGGUAACUAACCAGAAAGGGACGGCUAACUACGUG